Transfer RNA from Filimonas lacunae, 71 nucleotides. It matches the Rfam family "tRNA". From Rfam's summary of the family: Transfer RNA (tRNA) molecules are approximately 80 nucleotides in length. Their secondary structure includes four short double-helical elements and three loops (D, anti-codon, and T loops). Further hydrogen bonds mediate the characteristic L-shaped molecular structure. tRNAs have two regions of fundamental functional importance: the anti-codon, which is responsible for specific mRNA codon recognition, and the 3' end, to which the tRNAs corresponding amino acid is attached (by aminoacyl-tRNA synthetases). tRNAs cope with the degeneracy of the genetic code in two manners: having more than one tRNA (with a specific anti-codon) for a particular amino acid; and 'wobble' base-pairing, i.e. permitting non-standard base-pairing at the 3rd anti-codon position. Lineage: Bacteria; Pseudomonadati; Bacteroidota; Chitinophagia; Chitinophagales; Chitinophagaceae. The record is from Rfam.
AGUUAUGUGGCCGAGUGGUGAGGCUAAGGUUUGCACAACCUUCCACGGUGGUUCGAGUCCAUCCAUAACUG